Molecule: long non-coding RNA, 244 nt
Organism: Sander lucioperca (pikeperch)
Lineage: Eukaryota; Metazoa; Chordata; Actinopteri; Perciformes; Percidae
Exons: 2
Source: RefSeq, a predicted model, not a curated record
UUGACUGGUCACUCUUAAAGGACACACAGCUGGGUCCAGGUCCAGGUUCAGAUCCAGAUCCAGGUCCAGGUUCAGGAGACUCUGGUUUCUGCUGGGUCCUGAUAGAAAAACACAUUUAUUGAGGGUCACAUGUUCAGGUAAAGUCUCCCUGCAUAAAAUAUAAUAUUAAUAUGAAUAUGUCUGUAGGCCUAAUUAUUAACAAUUAAAUCCCAAUAAUGCUUUACUUUCUGUCCAAAACUCAAUA